GUGAACGUUACAAACUGUUGCCUCGGCGGGGUCACGCCCCGGGUGCGUAAAAGCCCCGGAACCAGGCGCCCGCCGGAGGAACCAACCAAACUCUUUCUGUAGUCCCCUCGCGGACGUAUUUCUUACAGCUCUGAGCAAAAAUUCAAAAUGAAUCAAAACUUUCAACAACGGAUCUCUUGGUUCUGGCAUCGAUGAAGAACGCAGCGAAAUGCGAUAAGUAAUGUGAAUUGCAGAAUUCAGUGAAUCAUCGAAUCUUUGAACGCACAUUGCGCCCGCCAGUAUUCUGGCGGGCAUGCCUGUCCGAGCGUCAUUUCAACCCUCGAACCCCUCCGGGGGAUCGGCGUUGGGGAUCGGGACCCCUCACCGGGUGCCGGCCCUGAAAUACAGUGGCGGUCUCGCCGCAGCCUCUCCUGCGCAGUAGUUUGCACAACUCGCACCGGGAGCGCGGCGCGUCCACGUCCGUAAAACACCCAACUUCUGAAAUGUUGACCUCGGAUCAGGUAGGAAUACCCGCUGAACUUAAGCAUAUCAAUAAGCGGAG
Molecule: ribosomal RNA, 541 nt
Filed under: Trichoderma hamatum
Lineage: Eukaryota; Fungi; Ascomycota; Sordariomycetes; Hypocreales; Hypocreaceae
Description: eukaryotic LSU rRNA
Rfam family: 5.8S ribosomal RNA (bases 157-310)
Source: RNAcentral